Long non-coding RNA from Myodes glareolus (Bank vole), 3864 nucleotides. RefSeq lists it as uncharacterized. NCBI's taxonomy places the organism in Eukaryota, Metazoa, Chordata, Mammalia, Rodentia, Cricetidae. The record is from RefSeq and is a predicted model, not a curated record.
CCUGUGGAAAGCCCCUCUUCUGGUCAUCUGGGUGUAGCCACUCUCUCCCUAUGAAGGAGGUAUUAUCAGCCUCUUAGCAGCUGAGGAAACCGAGGCUCAGGGCCAGAAAUUCAUCCCUCCAGAGCAGUGGUUCUCAGCCUCCCUAAGGCCGAGAUCCUUUGCAUACACAUCUCUCAACAUUGUGGAGACCCCAGCCAUAGAACUGUUUUACUGUUUUUGUUGCUACCCGAUCUGACCAUCUGCUUGACUUGGAAAUGCUCACGGCAAAUGAGACGUUCUUGCUUCUCAUACUGGAGAUUCCCAAACAUGAGGGAUUGGGACUGGCUUGUGUGUUGGCUGCUUAUAGAGACUAACGCUGGAAGGAGAAAUCAGGUUAAAUCAUCUUGAAAUCUGAAUGGGAAGACAAGGACGGAAUGUCAAGGCCCACGUACACAGAGCAAACAGAAAUAAAAAGAAAGGGCUGUAUUCUCACUGACUCACCCAGGAUGAAAAACAAUCCAUCUAAUACCUUGCUUGCAACCAAAUAUUAAGUUUUAGCGUCUUUUAAUGAUUAGCUCUGCAUGAAUUUCAACUGGUUGUUAUGAGCCAAAAAUCUAUAUAUGACAUGCUAUCUGGGGGAGAGUUUUACAAGACACUUCUCUAUAUAAUUUGGCUUAAGGAUAGCACUCUUUCUUAAUUUUAACUUGCAUAAUACAUUUUAGUUCCCUGGCACGGAAAGCUAUUGUGUGAAUACUAAAAUCUUUAUUGGGGAGGGGGAGGAGCAGCCUUGAUCAGAAUACAUUUGUGGGGAGCUUUUCAUUUGAGGGUCUCACUGAAAUGUGCCUUGGAAUUUUGUACCGUCCUACCGUAGCAUUACACGUCAACACUCGAGUCUACAACGUAGAUAGUCCCCAGGUAUACAGCUGCAUGGAGAAGGCUUCCUUAGCAACUGAUUUAAUCUUGGGUCAGACUGGCUAGUUGAGGGAGGCACAGUUCAACAGCGCAAAUGUGGGCGCAUUUAGCAAUCAGGUAAAUAAUACAUCAAGGAGGGAAACAGGGAAUAUUUUAUCUUGCCUUGGGACUCGGUAAUAAACAGUCCCCCUUCCCUCCCGCCUCCAGUUCAGAUAGAUUCUUAGUAAAUACUUCGAUGGAAGAGGCUUUUCUCUUAGCAAGAUGAACAAUUCAUCUCAGGUGAAGGCUAUGGGGCUGAGGCAGAAUCCAGGCAGAGAAUUUUCCCCAUGGUUUGAAUCAGUAGGACGGGUGUAGCCUCGAGGACAAGUGUGUUAGAGAAAAUGAAAUUUCAGAUAGAAGCGAACACGCUAAAGAGGGUCAGAGGGUCUGGAAAGGCUGGGAGUGGGGACGAGCGCUAUUCUUCUUACGUGCGUGUGCACGCGCGCAUGCGUGUGUGGGUCACAGAGGUUGGAAGCUUUGUAGAGCGGAGUGGAAGUUAAAACCUUGACCGUUCAGUGAUGCAACAGCAAUGAGUAGCGACUGCUGACUCAUUGCAUCAAAUUAGGUAUUUAUUAGCCGGGGAAAAAAUUAUUAGGCAAGGCAACAGGGAGUUGCUCAGGGACCAGGCCUUGCUACUUCUAGUCAAACUAAUGCUGUUGCUGCGGUUCAGCUCAUGGUGGUUCGCAGCAGAGGGCAGUGUGUAGGUCCAGCAGUCACAUUCUGACUUGAUAUUGAGGAAAACGUAGACUCUAGCCUUCCUCUUUACUACUAUCUGUUUGCCCAGUUCACUGAGUGUGCCUUGGCCAUGUUAUCAUAAAAGAAGCAUUUGGAAGAGAACUCUACUAUCUUAAACAAUCAAAUGAUCAAGCUCGGAGAGCUGAAGGUGGCGACAAGCUGAAGUCUUCUCUCUGGUUCCAUGGAUCUAACGGGUAACUGAUUACAAUAUUGAGUUUGAGAUCAAUAUAUACAGACAGUUUUCCUUGUGGCUAACCUUCAGCAAUACAACAUCUGUCUGCAUCGUAUUUACAGUGCAUCAGGACUGACAGGUAAACUGAAGGGAGUGUGAAGUAUACACGGGGCCUGCGGAGGCUAUCUGCAGAGACUAGACCGUUUUUUGCAUAGCGCUUGGACAUUCUCAGCUCUUGGGUAUGCACUAGAGUUGAUCGGGUUGGGCCUGGCACGAAUUUCCAACAAAAUCUUGAGCAACAGCUGUACUGAGAAAUAUAGCUUGUCUGUCUUCUUAUGAACUAUGCGGGGAAUUGUGGCAAAAUGCUAUCAGGAGAGGAGCGUUUACUGGGCUAGUUUCUGGAUGCUCUCAUGUCUGCCAUUCAGUUAAUGAGGAGCCAUACAUUAAAAUCCUGUACCUACUUCCUGCCCACUUGCCCCAGACACACGGCCUAAUUUUAUAUAUUGCUGAAUGAUACAAUAUGUGGUAUAGAAAUAUCUGUUUUCCGCCUCAUUCACCGUCAUGGUUGUGUGGAGUCAAAGGAGGAAAGUGGCCGCAGUGGAGGCAGGAAGAGAAUAGAGACAAUAAAACCUGCAUAAACUCAUCCACAAACCUAGAAGGGGUUGCUUAAGUAGCAAUGCGGUAAGCUAAUUCGUAUUUAUUACUCAGGAAAUUCAUUAAAGAAGAAUUACAUGACAAGCUGCCUGACAAUAUAAGGCAUGGAGCUUGCCUAUCACCCCUUUGUCUUCUGUCGCUUUGGAGGUGAUAAACACUGCCAGCUAUACCAAGUUUGUCCCUUUCGUUUCAGAGUGCUGGUUCCUUGGCUGUCCGGAAAUGGUUCAUCCAUUUAGCAAAGUUGGCUCCACUCGUUUGGCUAUUGCAAAUAGUGCUGCUGCAAACACCUAAUAACCACACACAUGACAUGACAUGCUAGCUCGAUCAGUAAUGGAGAAGACACAUGCUCCUAGAAUCAAGCUUUUGCGCGCGCGCGCACACACACACAUACACACACACACACACACAAACUUAACUAAGAAUUUUCUCUUGUUUAAAAUAGCGGGCAGUUAUGAAAAUAUUUUCCACGGAGAACUUUCACCUAACGUUGUCUCGUUUCUGCACUCAACAAUGACGCUGUGCUUAACAUCAUAAUUUUAUGGGUGAGCAGACUGAGGGUCUGAAAGGUCAUGAGUUUUAGAUUUGGGGUGUGCAGUGGUACAGUCUGGGUCCUUUCUGACGCAUCCCGUUGGCUCCCAGGAGGGGGCCUGUCCAUAGCUGACUUACAUCGCCACUGGAAGCCAAGAAGGCAAGGACAAACACUGGCAUUUUCAUGAUUUGGCUCUGGCCUGUAAUAACUGUUAAAUCAUGCCUUAGGCAAGCCUCUUGGCGAGGUUGGGGCACCCAGAAAGCAUUGGAUAAAGUUGAACUCCUGUAGGCAGGCUUUUAAGAUGUUUACAUUUUAAUGAUGUUAUUAAAAUGAAAGUUCAGCUUGAAUAAUUCAUCAGUGUUCAGCGCCUCUUCUAAAAUCUCUGUCACUGAACUAUUUUUUAUUUUUAAAUUUCAGUGAGAUUCUCACAAAGCACGAACAGGUAUUUCAAGGAAGAGUAAGGUAGAUCUCUAGGUGAACUGUUUAGGAGCUUCAUUGCCAGUGAAUUGUUCAGGCUAGGUUCACUUCCGGUGCCUCGCCUGUGUUACAGACAAUGCUGUUCUCUUCUGGUGUCUCGCCUGUAUUUUACAGGGCUGUAAAAAACCAAGUUGUUUUUGAUGUAAGCAAUAUGUAAAAGAAGCUUACAAAUAAGUGGUUUGGUAAAGCCAGGAAUUGGGAAAUUCUCUGAAAGAACGUUGCCUUUGACUCUUGUAAAGGUUUAUUUUUACUUCUAGUUACUGUCACGGGUUUAUUCAGACUUCUAUCAGCAAUGCUGCUGGAUGGAGUGUGUUUUAAUGGAUUUAAAUUCCUGAAAAUAUAGUUGAUGAAAGUCUAGAAAUUUACA